CGGUUAAGUCCGGCAACGAGCGCAACCCACGCCCUUAGUUACCAGCGGUUCGGCCGGGAACUCUAGGGGAACUGCCCGUGAUAAGCGGGAGGAAGGUGUGGAUGACGUCAAGUCCUCAUGGCCCUUACGGGUUGGGCUACACACGUGCUACAAUGGCAUCUACAGAGGGUUAAUCUCUAAAAGAUGUCUCAGUUCGGAUUGUCGUCUGCAACUCGACGGCAUGAAGUCGGAAUCGCUAGUAAUCGCGUAACAGCAUGACGCGGUGAAUACGUUCCCGGGCCUUGUACACACCGCCCGUCACACCAUGGGAGUUGGUUUUACCCGACGACGCUGCGCUAACCUUCGGGAGGCAGGCGGCCACGGUAAGAUCAGCGACUGGGGUGAAGUCGUAACAAGGUAGCCGUAGGGGAACCUGCGGCUGGAUCACCUCCUUU
Molecule: ribosomal RNA, 434 nt
Filed under: Wenzhouxiangella sp.
Lineage: Bacteria; Pseudomonadati; Pseudomonadota; Gammaproteobacteria; Chromatiales; Wenzhouxiangellaceae
Description: bacterial SSU rRNA
Rfam family: Bacterial small subunit ribosomal RNA
Source: RNAcentral